This is a long non-coding RNA of Neofelis nebulosa (Clouded leopard), 3050 nucleotides long. RefSeq lists it as uncharacterized. NCBI's taxonomy places the organism in Eukaryota, Metazoa, Chordata, Mammalia, Carnivora, Felidae. The transcript has 2 exons. The record is from RefSeq and is a predicted model, not a curated record.
AGAAGCGCGUGCAUUUCUCAGUCCAUUUGAAAGUGGGGCUUAUUCCGUUGUCUCUAAUUUUCUCAUUUUCUGGCAAUCUCAGGACAGAAUGCCUCUGAUUCCCCCUGGGAGGUGGACGGGUUAAUGAUGUUUGAGGAUUUUGAAUGGGGCCAAAGUUACAUGAGAAGUUUUCUUUUUUUUUUUUCCUUAAUGCUGAGAAAAAUUUUAAAUGUCUAAAAUAGUGGGCUCUUACCUCCAUUGUUUGCACAUUUUUGCUUAUUUAAGUGGCCAUGAAAUUUUCACUGAGGAUACCCCAAAGACCUGUGAUUCUAAGGUACUGGCUUCACUUUUCACUUGAGUCUUCUGGCUUGUCUUGUUUUGAAUUUUAUCAACCGACCAGCAAGGAUUGGUGGACAGGGGGGGAUGGGAAGGGCUGCAGGUGCACCCAGAGAAGGAGGGACUGGUAGCCACAAGAGAAGGGCAGAGGGAAGAGACAGCCUGGAGCUUAACUCGUCACGGUCUCCCCGGAGGAGAAUGAUUGCCGUCCUGCAGUGAGAGCACCAGCAGGAAAGACCAGCCCUCCUUUGGUGGUCACCGUGUGCCAGGCACCGUGCUGUGCCCUUGCGUUCACGAUGCCCUGGAUCCGUAUGGCCUCGUGAAACACACGUUUCAGUCCCAUUUGACAGAGGAUGACACCGAGACUUAAGGAUCUCGCAGCUGCUAACAGGCAGAGCUGGGAUUUGAACCCAAGUCCAAGAGUUCUUGCCCCCGCUACACAAAAGGAGACCGUGCAGUUAUAUGCCAGGUUGACCAGGGGGCUAGUUCAGGGGAUUAGAGAAUGAAUGCUGUGGGCAGGACAUGCAGAUGUAGCUGUGAUAAAGUUAGUAAAGGUCCAGCCACAUGCAAUACUGUGCAAUGGAGGGUUGGGUCAUGAAGGGACGUGGAGGACAGAGAACAUUUUCAUUGUUUCCUGAGUGUUGUUUCUGGGACCAGAGAACUCUGUGCCUAGACACUUAAAUCCAAUUCCUUUUUUUUUUAAUUAAACAAACUUUUUAAAUGUUUAUUUUGAGAGAAGGAGAGAGAAUGAACGGAGGGAGAGCAGAGAGAGAGAGGGUCCCAAGCAGGCUCCACGCUGUCCAUGAACAGCCCAAUGCGGGGCUUGAACUCACAAACUGAGAUUGUGACCUGAGCUGAAAUCAAGAGUUAGAUGCUUAACCAACUGAACUACCCAGGCACCCAACUCCCAAUUCCUUAAUAGGCAGGAUUUCCUUUUCCUUAAAAUUUGGAACAUCCUGAAGGGGAGAGUUGGUCAGGAUUAGGGGGGACAAAGUGGUUACAUUCUUUUCAGCCUGAGUGUUCAUUAGGAGUUAAGAACAUCUUAAUCACCUGCAUUUCCAGCCUCUGGCCUGUGGUUGGCGCUUGGGAUAGGUACCAGCCUCAAGAGGGGCCCUAGUGAUCCACGUUGUCCUAUGUGGUCCCGUCACCCUGAAUUGGGGCUGGCGUGGCGUGGCCAAUGGAGUAGGGGAGGAGUGAGGGGUGAUGUGUGACUUCUCAGGCUAGGCCAGGAAAGGUAUUGUGCCUCCUUCUUUGGCUCAGGGUGCAGCUAGCUUGCCUGCCCUGCUUGAGGGUGCUCCCACAGCCCUGUGGCGAGGAGCUGAGCUUUGUGGCCAGUAGCCCAUCCAGUCUCACAGCCACGUGCGCGAGGCACCUUGGACGUGACCCUCCAGCCCUAGACAAGCCUUUGGAUGAUGCAGCCCCAGCCGACAUCUGACUGCUGCCCCUUCAGAGGCCCCAGAUUGAAUACUGCCCAGCCGAGCUCUUCCCAAAUCCUGCCCCACAGAGUCUGUGAAGACCGUACAUAAUCAUGUAUUUGGCCUCUACGUUUUGGGGUAAUGUGUUGUGCAGUGCGUGUGUACUGGUCCACGCUUUUUUGGUGUCACGUAAUAGAAACCCAGCUCCAACUAGCUUAAGCAAAACGGUCCAUUUCACUCAUCAUGUAAUUUAGAGAUCCAGGCUUCACGUACAGCUGGAUCCAGGGUCUGUCUUAGUCUCCUGACUCUGCUUCCUGUUACGUGUUGACCUUGUUGUUUCCUCCACCAAGGCGCUAUGGGCAGCUCUCCAUGACUGGCUCUGAGAGACCACUUUAUACAAACCAACAGACGUUUAAAGCAGGCCCAGGUGUGCUUGCUCAGUCACUGCUCUCCCGGAGUGGAGUGUGGGAAACCAGUCUUUGACUUCUGUCAGUCUGUUGUGCUCCUAUGGAAGACAGUCACCUGGCAGUGUUAGGCCUUAACAUCCCGAUUUGUAGGCCUGAUGGAAAGAGAACUUCAUCUUGAGGCAACACGUGUCAGUCCUGGGAAAGGGGCAAAGUGCAGAAUGGCUGGGGCCCCACCAGACCCGAGCCACACCUACAUCACGCCAUUGGUAGCUGCCAUGAUGAGGGAUUCUCAGUUUCCUAAAGAAGCAGGUGGUGGCGAGCUGUCAGUUCCACUUUCUUUAAAACUUGAUGACAAGGCCUGCUUGAAGUCACCUGCCAUUUUGGGCUUUAUCUUUUCAUUAGCAAUGUGACCAAGACCUUAUGGACCUUAUGACAUGUCUAGAGAAGGAAGAAACUAAUCUGUCUGUGAGCCUACUAUUUGCUAGGGCCAGGAGUCGCCUUUCCAGCCCUGGAACUUGGUGGAACAGGGAAAGAGAGAGAGACAACACGAGCUGGGGAGGGGCAGAGAGAGAGGGAGACACAGAAUCCGAAGAGGCUCCAGGCUCUGAACUGUCAGCACAGAACCCGAUGCAGGGCUCGAACUCAUGAACUGUGAGGUCAUGACCUGAGCCGAAGUCAGAUGCUCAACCGACUGAGCCACCCAGGUGCCCCUAAAAAUGCUUCUUUGUACACCUGCAAGAAUGCCUUACCUCAGUGAUGACUGAUACUCAGUUACAGCAGCAAAGAACUGUUCACAUAAGAAGAUGAGGUCUAAGAUUUGUAUUGGUUGAGGGACAGGGGUCAGCAAACCAUGGCCCUUGGGCCAAAUCUGGUCUGUCAUCUGUGUUUGGAAAUAAAGUGUAAUGGGAACACA